GGGUUAGUAGGCUGGUCGUGCCACCGGUACGUACUGGUCUUACUGAUUCCUCCUUCCUGAUGAACUGUAAUGCCAUUAAUUUGGUGUUGCAGGGAAUCUGGACUGUUACUUUGAGAAAAUUAGAGUGUUUAAAGCAGGCUAACGCUUGAAUACAUUAGCAUGGAAUAAUGAAAUAGGACGUUCGAUCCUAUUGUUGGUUUCUAGGAUUGACGUA
RNAcentral lists this unclassified non-coding RNA (214 nucleotides) under uncultured Glomus. RNAcentral describes it as "sequence contains 18S rRNA gene". The stretch from base 40 to 214 matches the Rfam family "Eukaryotic small subunit ribosomal RNA", at positions 686 to 864 of the family's 1831-position model. Lineage: Eukaryota; Fungi; Glomeromycota; Glomeromycetes; Glomerales; Glomeraceae. The record is from RNAcentral.